RNAcentral lists this ribosomal RNA (319 nucleotides) under uncultured eukaryote. RNAcentral's name for it is "partial 18S ribosomal RNA". It matches the Rfam family "Eukaryotic small subunit ribosomal RNA", at positions 1470 to 1796 of the family's 1831-position model. The record is from RNAcentral.
UCCUUAGAUGUUCUGGGCUGCACGCGCGCUACACUGACGUACGCAACGAGUGUCCUUUACCGAGAGGUAUGGGUAAUCAUUUGAGUGUACGUCGUGAUGGGGAUAGAAUAUUGUAAUUAUUACUCUUCAACGAGGAAUUCCUAGUAAGCGCAAGUCAGCAGCUUGCGCUGAUUACGUCCCUGCCCUUUGUACACACCGCCCGUCGCUCCUACCGAUGGGUGAUCCGGUGAAUGAUUCGGACUCGGUUGCCUCUAGCCACUAGUGGCGCUCGAGAAAGUUUUGUGAACCUUAUCACUUGGAGGAAGGAGAAGUCGUAACA